ACAGUUUGAUCGUGGCUCAGAACGAACGUUGGCGGCGUGGAUUAGGCAUGCAAGUCGAACGAAUCCCACUCCGGUCACUAGGUGGGGGAAGUGGCGAAAGGGGCAGUAAGGCGUAGGUAACCUACCCCGGGGACGGGGAUAGCCAUUCUAACGAGUGGGUAAUACCCGGCGAUCUGGCGGGGAGACAUCUCCUUGCCAGGAAAUGAGUUUCGCCUCGGGAGGGGCUUACGUGGUAUUAGCUAGACGGCGGGGUAACGGCCCACCGUGGCCAAGAUGCCUAGCAGGUGUGAGAGCCCGACCUGCGCCACUGGCACUGUGACACCGGCCAGACUCCUACGGGAGGCUGCAGUCGAGGAUCUUCGGCAAUGGGCGCAAGCCUGACCGAGCGACGCCGCGUGUGCGAUGAAGGCCUUCGGGUUGUAAAGCACUGUCGAGGGGGAGGAAAGCCGCAAGCCCUGCCCUAUCCCUGGAGGAAGCACGGGCUAAGUUCGUGCCAGCAGCCGCGCUAAGACGAACCGUGCGAACGUUGUUCGGAAUCACUGGGCUUAAAGGGCGCGUAGGCGGGUGUCAAGUCAGUGCGAAACUAGGCUCAUCGAU
This 597-nucleotide ribosomal RNA is filed under the name uncultured soil bacterium. RNAcentral's name for it is "SSU rRNA". It matches the Rfam family "Bacterial small subunit ribosomal RNA", at positions 8 to 616 of the family's 1533-position model. The record is from RNAcentral.